Molecule: long non-coding RNA, 392 nt
Organism: Meriones unguiculatus (Mongolian gerbil)
Lineage: Eukaryota; Metazoa; Chordata; Mammalia; Rodentia; Muridae
Exons: 4
Source: RefSeq, a predicted model, not a curated record
GGGGUACAGUACACACAUUCAAGCUGACACAGGAGGAAUUCAAGGCCAGCUUGCAUAAUAAGACCCUACCGAAAAAUGCAGCCAACCAACUUGUGAAGAAAAGGAUCUUACUGACGUCCAAGCAGCCCAGACUGUCCUGAAACUCAAAGCAGCUCCUGGUUCCAUCACCCCUGAAUAUGGCAAAGUCACCAUCAACACGUGCGAUAUGCAUGAAGGAACUGCCAAAAGCACAACAAGCAUGUCCAAAGGUUGAGCUGCUCAGACGACAGUCUCUGAAAUGAGGAUCUAAAAAGAGACCCUAAGAUAUUAUGGGCUGGCAAAACCAGUUUUGGAUGCCCCGCCCCUUUUCGGUACUUGAGGUUGAAUCCAAAGUCUUUGUGCACGCUAGACAG